CACGAAGUAGGCCCUUGAUGCCACGCCAGCAUUUUGUUGGAGGAGAUUCCAAGGUUCCAGAUUCCAUGUUUUACAGCUUACCGACGUAUCUCGCCUGAAAAUGAGCAAUGCAGCCUAUUUUCGUGCGAAUGAAGGAUGCAUCAAAUGCAGACUACCAAAUUUUUCGAGAACCCUUAUUAUUAUAAAUCUUCAGCUAGAACAUCCCCCAUUAAGUCGU
Molecule: non-coding RNA, 217 nt
Organism: Paramuricea clavata
Lineage: Eukaryota; Metazoa; Cnidaria; Anthozoa; Malacalcyonacea; Plexauridae
Source: the annotation of a GenBank genome assembly